RNAcentral lists this ribosomal RNA (259 nucleotides) under uncultured cyanobacterium. RNAcentral describes it as "partial 16S ribosomal RNA". It matches the Rfam family "Bacterial small subunit ribosomal RNA", at positions 1151 to 1406 of the family's 1533-position model. The record is from RNAcentral. Lineage: Bacteria; Bacillati; Cyanobacteriota.
GCCGGUGAUAAACCGGAGGAAGGUGUGGAUGACGUCAAGUCAUCAUGCCCCUUACAUCCUGGGCUACACACGUACUACAAAUGCUACGGACAAAGGGUUGCAAAACCCGCGAGAGCUAGCUAAUCCCAUAAACCGUGGCUCAGUUCAGAUCGUAGGCUGCAACUCGCCUACGUGAAGGAGGAAUCGCUAGUAAUCGCAGGUUCAGCAUACUGCGGUGAAUACGUUCCCGGGCCUUGUACACACCGCCCGUCACACCAUG